GUGAGAAUCCUGCAGAGAUGCGGGAGUGCCUUCGGGAAUUCACAUACAGGUGCUGCAUGGCUGUCGUCAGCUCGUGUCGUGAGAUGUUGGGUUAAGUCCCGCAACGAGCGCAACCCUUUUCCUUAUUUGCCAGCGGGUUAAGCCGGGAACUUUAAGGAUACUGCCAGUGACAAACUGGAGGAAGGCGGGGACGACGUCAAGUCAUCAUGGCCCUUACGACCAGGGCUACACACGUGCUACAAUGGUAGGUACAGAGGGUUGCUACACAGCGAUGUGAUGCUAAUCUCAAAAAGCCU
Molecule: ribosomal RNA, 296 nt
Filed under: Salmonella enterica subsp. enterica serovar Virchow
Lineage: Bacteria; Pseudomonadati; Pseudomonadota; Gammaproteobacteria; Enterobacterales; Enterobacteriaceae
Description: partial 16S ribosomal RNA
Rfam family: Bacterial small subunit ribosomal RNA
Source: RNAcentral